RNAcentral lists this long non-coding RNA (625 nucleotides) under Struthio camelus australis. Its description in RNAcentral is "lncRNA (ENSSCUG00000011907.1)". The record is from RNAcentral. Lineage: Eukaryota; Metazoa; Chordata; Aves; Struthioniformes; Struthionidae.
AAAGCUAAAGCAGAUAUACAUCAAGUGUGGGAAUGAAUGUAUAAACUACAUAUCUUGAAAAAUUCUUAUUUGUAACCUCCUUUUUUUUAGGGAUAUUGCAUCGAAAGAAUCUACAGAAAUGCUGUGUGUUCUUAUGCAAAUAUUAGUGGUAUCACUAGAGCACAAUUAAUUUUAGCUUCACAUUUAAUUAAAAUUCCAAACCUUCCCAGUAUGCUGUUAUGAAGGAAAAAAUUGAUUCUGAGGUGUGAGUCAAUCCUUUCUCAGCUGUGAUUUCCAACAGUAAAUGAGGAAAUUUUGCUUAUAGAAAUGCCAUGUCAACAGAGGUUGGGACUACUUGAAUCUUGGAAGUGCCACUGCAGUAGAAGAUGAAAGCAAAACAUGAUCGACACCACCCAAAAAAAGAUUUUGUGCCCAUUUUGUGCCAGUUGUGAAUACUGAUAGGAAUAUUAGUUAUUGAAACUGGGGGGAAAUGCAAUCUUAGAAAGAAAUUCCUUCAUUUUUUGAGGUUACUUUUAAGAUUCACGAGAUAUCAUUGGAACAAUACAAAAUUUGCCACAAUUGCAUGUGGUCGUGUUAAUGCUAUUAGUGUUAAGAAUUCAGUCUAUCCAGCCAAAACAGGUAAGCA